This is a non-coding RNA of Paramuricea clavata, 228 nucleotides long. Lineage: Eukaryota; Metazoa; Cnidaria; Anthozoa; Malacalcyonacea; Plexauridae. The record is from the annotation of a GenBank genome assembly.
UUUAAAUCUAAACACGAAUUCCAGGCUUUUUGAAAGUCAGCUGUGGGCGUUUGUAAGUAGUCUCGUUAGUAGAUACCUUGAUUUUCACAUUUUGCAGACAAAAAAACUCGCUUACUUUUUACGAUUUUUCUGCAGAAAUGCGCGAUAAACGUACUGUAUAUUGCGUCAAAAGUACGUGAUUGAUCUACCCUGGUUUGUUUAUGGCCAAUAUUUGGAAUUAUAUCUGGU